Molecule: transfer RNA, 92 nt
Filed under: Solirubrobacteraceae bacterium
Lineage: Bacteria; Bacillati; Actinomycetota; Thermoleophilia; Solirubrobacterales; Solirubrobacteraceae
Also listed under: 1 other name
Description: tRNA-Sec
Rfam family: Selenocysteine transfer RNA
Source: RNAcentral
GGAGCGGCCGGGCCCGGUGGCCCAGCCGGCCUUCAAAGCCGGUCAGCGGCGGCGAUCCCGUCGUGGGUAGGUUCGACUCCUACGCCGCUCCG